UAUCAUAAAAGGAUCAAAAUUUCAUAUCAUAUGGUCUAUAAUGAGGUCUAGGUAUUAAUUUAGCUUAGAUUAUAAUGUUUAGUAGAUUAAGAUGCAUUGAGUAAUUAUAUGGUUCGUAGGAUAAACUAUGCAUUUGUUUAUGGUAAAAUAUAUUGAGCUAAUCUCAACUAUCACCGAUUUUGAUCGAACUACCUAACGUUUAAGGAUGAUAGGGUGAGAAUUGCCACUUAUGUUUUUGUAUUUCUGUAUUAUCAACUUGUGACCUAAUUGCAAUAAACUCUUGUUGUGGUGUCUAAUUUUUUGGAUCAUUUGAUGUCAUUAAUCAUUAAUUAUUUGUGCUUUUAGGUUGUUUCGAAGACAAAAGUCUUCCAUCCAAACAUCAAAUAAUAUUAGUUACUGGUUGUUGUUUAAUAGGGUUGUCAAAAUCUAGCAAUAGGUGAUGCUUGUCCGGAGAGCAAUAGAUAAGAAUUAACAUCUGUAAGGAAACUUCUCUGAAAGUUUUAUUUUUCACCUAUAAAACAAGUAGGUAGCAGUAUUAAAUAAAUGUCCUUUAAAUGAAUCUCAAUAGACUUCAGAGCUUUUGUCAUUUUGUUACUGUUACAAUAAAUACAUAAUGAACUAAAUUAGCUUGACCUAUGGGUCCCGAUCCCAUCAGAGUGACUUUCAAUAAACCUUAUUUUUUUUACUCGUUACUUUUAAUCUUACUACAAGAAUAAGACCUAGAAAAGAAGAUUGCAAAAAUAAUUUACUUAAGCUGUAUUAUGUGAAUGAGUAGAUGGCAGUUUCUCUUGAACAUCAAACUCAUCCCAAUGGAAAAAAUUGGGAGAAAAGAACAAAAAACAUAUUAAAGUAUAAUUAAUGAACUAAUUUGAUGAUAGAAUUAAUGGUAGAUAUGUUAGUUAGUAACAAGAAAUUAUCCCCAGGAGUCUUAUGUCGAUCUCUCAAUAAUGCUAUUUUUUCAACUGCAUACUCUGUAAAUUACAAGACUAUAAAAAGGCAUCUAUUAGCCUAUACCUGAUAGGGAAUGACCAUAAAUCUUAAGUAUUUUAUAUAUGAUCAAUAGUAAAUUGAUAAUGACAAUCAACUUUAUAGACUAUGAUGAUAGAUGGAUAUUCAUCUUAUUCCUUCUUGCACCAUUAGUUUCGAGAAUAAUUUUAGUAAAAUAAUGUGUUCUGACAAAAAAUAUUUACUUAAAACUAUUUAUAGAUGAAGAGCAACAGAUACAGGGUUUUGCUUGUUGAUUCCAUAGAGGAGGCGCCGGUUUUAUUCCUUCUUUAAUGGGGCUCAGUGAAAAUUGGUGGUGAAUUAUGAAGAUGAAUCAAGGAUUGUACCAGGAUCUAUGGUGAUCUCUUUGGAUCCAUUGUCGGAAUUGGAGCUUCCCACGAUCUAAGGUUUUUGGGGAUUUUUAUGGUCAGUUUGGUGCUUAAGUUGAUGAUUAGUUUGGUAAUUAUUUUAUCAUCUUUUUGUGUAGCAUUUGAGGGUUAAUUUGGCUUAUCAUAUCUCAUAUUCUAUCAUUAUUUAGUUAGAAUUUGAUGGUCCAUAUAAUGGUUAAAGUUGUUGCUGCUAUAUUCAACUCAUAUGACACUUACUUCAUUGAAUCUUAUUAUACAGUUGCCAGUUUAGUUUGCCAUCCUAGAUAUCCAUUUUUUGAGUUAGAUUGAUGACAAUGUGACAUGGUUAUUUUCAGAAUUACAAUUAGUUCAGUUUGAUAAUUAUAUUUGUUGAAUUUUGUUUUGCUCCCUUGCUUGUUCAUUUUGCUAUCAUAAACAUCAUUUUGGAAUUCAAUUGAUGAGCCAAUAUCCUGCCUAUAUGCUAAAAGCUACUAGUUUUGUUUGCCUUCUUGCAUGUCUAUUUUUGUGUUAGUUUGAUGAAUAUAUGUGCCGAUUGUUUGCUAUUCUUGUGUUGCUCUCUUGAUAUCUCACCUUGCAUAAUAGACAUCUCUAAUUUAGUUAGAUGGAUGAUUAUUUUAACCAAUUGUUUGUCUAAUCUUAACUAUGCUGUCCUUCUGUACGCCAUUCUAGAUAUUAGUUUUUAGUUUGUUUGUUUAGUAUGUAUGUCGGUUCUUUGCUAGUAUCUUAUUUCCUCUCUCUUCAUUUAGUUUACUAUGUUGGGCAUCUACUUUUGAGUUUUGAGUUAGUUUUCUAAACAUAUAUGUUGGUUCUUUGCUGAAAACUGCUUCAAUCUUGACACCUUUGUCCUCCUGCAUACACUAUGGUGGUAAGCCUAUAAAAAAGACCUUGUAAGAUUGGAAAGGGUGUCAAGAUCUCGGGCGAUCGCCACCGGAAAGAUCUCCGGCGAUUGAGGUGGACGAGCUCCGCAACACGAGCUUGGGGCUCCGCAUUAUAGCCUCCCCUCUAGGCCACAUCUUCGACCACCGACCUCGGCAUACGUUUCUUCAACAUCUCCCAGUCCAUCUGAAGAAGCUUAACAAGGACUUGUCCUACAAUCACAAACUUGGAGGUCCACUCACACCAGCACUUGGGAACUUGACAUAGCUAACUCACCUAAUCCUAUUUAAGUGUAGCUUCAACGGUACUAUCCCAGAUGAGCUAGGCAAUCUACGCCAACUCACCUUCUUGGUGCUGAACUCAAACAAGUUCAUAGGAAAGACACCUGCUACAUUGGGAAAGCUUUCGAACCUCUCUUGGCUAGACCUUGCUGAUAAUCAGUUGAAUGGAACUCUCCUGAUGUCAAUGAAUGCGUCUCCGGGCUGGGAUCAACUCCUCAAUGCACAACAUUUGUAAGGAUGAGUGGUGCAAUUUUUACGCAGUGUUAGUGUUAUUCGACAAUCCUUUAUUUUGGAUGUGGACCAUGUAAUCAAAUGUACUUAUUUUAGAUUGAAUCAUUUAGUUUGAAUUUGAAAACUCUUUGUUAUGUACUUAAAAAAUUGGAGAUAUUAGGAGGUAUUUUGUAUGACGAAUGUGAGAAUAUUAAUGUCUUUUCGUUAUUAGAACUUAAAAAUCUCGUCGAUUUGUUUUUAUCAUAAA
This is a long non-coding RNA of Ananas comosus (pineapple), 2987 nucleotides long. RefSeq lists it as uncharacterized. The record is from RefSeq and is a predicted model, not a curated record. The transcript has 6 exons. NCBI's taxonomy places the organism in Eukaryota, Viridiplantae, Streptophyta, Magnoliopsida, Poales, Bromeliaceae.